CCUACGGGUGGCAGCAGUGGGGAAUAUUGGACAAUGGGCGAAAGCCUGAUCCAGCCAUGCCGCGUGUGUGAAGAAGGCCUUCGGGUUGUAAAGCACUUUCAGUGGGGAAGAAAGCCUUGGGGCUAAUACCCUCGAGGAAGGACAUCACCCACAGAAGAAGCACCGGCUAACUCCGUGCCAGCAGCCGCGGUAAUACGGAGGGUGCGAGCGUUAAUCGGAAUUACUGGGCGUAAAGCGCGCGUAGGCGGUCUGAUAAGCCGGUUGUGAAAGCCCCGGGCUCAACCUGGGAACGGCAUCCGGAACUGUCAGGCUAGAGUGCAGGAGAGGAAGGUAGAAUUCCCGGUGUAGCGGUGAAAUGCGUAGAGAUCGGGAGGAAUACCAGUGGCGAAGGCGGCCUUCAGGACUGACACUGACGCUGAGGUGCGAAAGCGUGGGUAGCAAACAGGAUUAGAUACCCUUGUAGUC
This 465-nucleotide ribosomal RNA is filed under the name Vreelandella stevensii. RNAcentral's name for it is "partial 16S ribosomal RNA". It matches the Rfam family "Bacterial small subunit ribosomal RNA", at positions 338 to 795 of the family's 1533-position model. Lineage: Bacteria; Pseudomonadati; Pseudomonadota; Gammaproteobacteria; Oceanospirillales; Halomonadaceae. The record is from RNAcentral.